RNAcentral lists this ribosomal RNA (1488 nucleotides) under Awaous flavus (candy cane goby). RNAcentral's name for it is "partial 16S ribosomal RNA". It matches the Rfam family "Bacterial large subunit ribosomal RNA", at positions 181 to 2574 of the family's 2925-position model. Lineage: Eukaryota; Metazoa; Chordata; Actinopteri; Gobiiformes; Gobiidae. The record is from RNAcentral.
ACACAUGCUCCUAACAGCUAGCCCAACAACCCAAAAACAACAAACAACAUUAAUAACCCCAAAAUCACAAACAGAACAAAACAAACCAUUUUUCCUCCUUAGUAUGGGCGACAGAACAGGAUUUAUGAGCGCUAUAGAGAAAGUACCGCAAGGGAAUGCUGAAAGAGAAAUGAAAAAACCCAGUAAAGAGCAAAGAAGUAGAGACACCCCCUCGUACCUUUUGCAUCAUGAACUAGUUAGUAACCCUCGAGCAAAACGAAUUUUAGUCCGAGCCCCCGAAACUUGGUGAGCUACUCCAGGACAGCCUAUAAUAGGGCCAACCCGUCUCUGUGGCAAAAGAGUGGGAAGAGCCUAGAGUAGAGGUGACAGACCUACCGAGCCAAGUUAUAGCUGGUUGCCUACAAAAUGAAUAGAAGUUCAGCCUCUGGAUUUCUUUAACCAACCCUGGUUAAUACCAAACAACGAUGAAAAGUAAACCCAGAGAGUUAUUCAGAGGGGGAACAGCCCCUCUGAACAGAGAUACAACUUUAAUAGAAGGCUAAAGAUCAAAAGACUCAAAAGCACGUACCUUAGUGGGCCUAAAAGCAGCCACCUACACAGAAAGCGUUAAAGCUCAAGUACCAUGCCCCUUAUAAUAAAGACAUUCAAAUCUUAAGCCCCUGUCACAUUAGUAGGCCCUUCCAUGCAAACAUGGAAAAGACACUGCUAGCAUGAGUAAUAAGAGGAACAAGCUCCUCUCCUGGCACCUGUUUAUAUCAGAACGAACUCGCACUGAAAAUUAACGCCCCCAAUUAAAGAGGGAACUGAGAAACAUCAAAGUAACCUAGAAGUCCUCUCAGAACAAAAGCGUUACCCCCACACAGGAGUGCCCUAUAGGAAAGACUAAAAGAAAAAGAAGGAACUCGGCAAACACUGGCCUCACCUGUUUACCAAAAACAUCGCCUCUUGCACCCUAAACAUAUAAGAGGUCCCGCCUGCCCUGUGACUUGUUAGUUUAACGGCCGCGGUAUUUUGACCGUGCGAAGGUAGCGUAAUCACUUGUCUUUUAAAUGGAGACCUGUAUGAAUGGCAUAACGAGGGCUAAGCUGUCUCCUUUUUCCAGUCAAUGAAAUUAAUCUUCCCGUGCAGAAGCGGGAAUAAGCACAUAAGACGAGAAGACCCUAUGGAGCUUUAGACAAAAGGCAGAUAACAUGAAAUUAACUGGAGUAAACAGAACAAACAAACUACCCCUGCCCUCUUGUCUUUGGUUGGGGCGACCGUGGGGAAACAAACAUCCCCCAUGUGGAAUGGGAACUAUUCCUCAAGACUAGAGCUACAGCUCUAACAAGCAGAACUUCUGACCAGAAAGACCCGGCAUAGCCGAUCAACGGACUGAGUUACCCUAGGGAUAACAGCGCAAUCCCCUUUUAGAGCCCAUAUCGACAAGGGGGUUUACGACCUCGAUGUUGGAUCAGGACAUCCUAAUGGUGCAGCCGCUAUUAAGGGUUC